Molecule: long non-coding RNA, 2838 nt
Organism: Macaca mulatta (Rhesus monkey)
Lineage: Eukaryota; Metazoa; Chordata; Mammalia; Primates; Cercopithecidae
Source: Ensembl
GUACAUCGGCGCCCUCCGAUCUGGGGUGCGCGCCCCAGCUUGGGACACGCGGCGCUCAUUCUAGGACUUCAGCUGGAGGCACCUUAAGGCCCCCUCCUCGCAUUGCAAACUGGUCCCAGAGAUACUAAGUGACUUGCUAAUGGUGCCCCAGCCAGUUAAGGACUUGGACCUGCAUUUUUCAUUCGAGAAAACUGAAACCCAGAAGAUUAAGAUCGUUGAAUGCUACCUAGCAGGAGAACUUCGGUUUAUAACUACAGCUCGGGAAUUCGCUGCAGCGUUUCUCGAUUCUCUGGGCAAGAAAAAUAGUCCCAGAUGCAUUCUGAGGACAGCUCAGAGAAGGUCCUAGCGAACGAGUACCUUUCUUGCUUCUUGAAUCCCUUCAGGAAAAAGUGUUUGGAAAGUUCUGAGCCAAGAAGUUCCUCCCUGUGUCCUUGUUAUUUAGCCACCUAGCAUGGAGAGAGAAUCUGUGCUUCUGGGAGAAGAAGAGUGCAGUGAUUGUCAGACUUUGCACUGGCACUCAGUGCUGCCCAGUCAUAGCACAAAGCAACACUGGAAAGAACUCACCCAGGGCCCAUGGAGGAUCAUUCAGACCAGCCCUAGCUGGAAGCAAAUCAUCCAUCCCAGCAGUGGGAACCUGAGUUCCAGUAAGCCUCACCACCAUGGGCUGAAGUGCUCUGAGGUUCUACAUAAACUUGAAAGGCAGUCUAGGCCACAAGGAUGGCAAUUCCUGGGCAAGUCCUGGUGCUGUGCUGGGCUCAGAGCCAGUGAAUGUGGGGUACACAACCUAGUGAGACACCAGCUGGGAUGGCCAAGGGAUCGCCUGCACCACCCGUCUCCCAACCCCAGGCAGCGGAGCUCAAAGCUCAGAGAGAGACUUCUUUCCUCUGCUUGAGAAGAACAGAGGGAAGAACAAAGAUGACUUUGUCUUGCAUCUUGGAUACCAGCUUGGCUGCAGUAGGAUAGGGCACCAGGCAGAGUCCUGAGGCCCCUAUUCCAGGCCAUAGCUCCAAGCUGACAUGUCUAGCCACACCCUGGGCCAGAAGGGAACCUGCUGCCUUGAAGGGCAGGACCAGUCCUGGCAGGAUUCCUCCCCAGCUGACUAACGAGCCCUUUGGCCCUGAAUAAUCGGAAGUAGCCAGGUAGUACUCAUCGUGGGCUUUAGGUGAGACUCAGAGACAUGCAGGCUUCAGGAUGACCCAGCACAUUCCAGCUGUGGCGGCUAUGGGGAGAAAUUCCUUCUGCUUGAGAAAAGAAGAGGAAAGAGUAAAGGGGACUUGGCCACUGUGGGGUUAGAAUGCAAAGUGGGCUCUUAGGGUCCCUGAUUCCAGGCUUUGGCUCUUAGAUAGCAUUCCUGGACCUGCUCUGGGCCAGAGGGGAGCCCACUUCCCUGAAGGGUGAGUCCCAGGCCAGGCAGCAUUCACCACAAGCUUACUGAAGAGCCCUUGCGCCUUGAGUAUACAUCAGCAGUAGCCAGACAGUACCCAUCACAGGCCUGGGGUGGAAGUGGCCAUGGGAAGAUACUUCUCAGCUUGUGGAAAGGGGAGGGAAAAGUGGGAAGGACUUUGUCUUGUGGCUUGGGUGCCAGUUCAGCUGCAGUACAAUAGAGUACCAAGUAGAUUCCUAAGGUUUCUGAUUAGGCCCUAGCUCCUGGAAGGCAUCUCUGGAUUCACCCCAGGCUGGGGGGAACUUGCCACCCUGAAGAGGACAUAAGCUUGGCUGGCUUUGCCACCUGCUGAUUUUAGAGCCACAGGGCCUUGCGUGAACGUAAGUAGUAGCCAGGUACUGGUUACCGUAGGCCUUGGGCAAGACCCAGUACUGUGCUGGCUUCACCUCUGACCCUGCACAGUCCCAGUGGUGGUGGUCACAGGGGUGUUUGUGUCACUUCUCCCCCAACUCCAGGCAGCUGAUCACAGAAAGACAGACUUUGUUUGGGGGAAAGAAGGGAAGACAAUAAGAGUCUCUGCCCGGUAAUCCAGAGAAUUCUUCCAGAUCUUAUCCAAGACCACCAAGGCAGUGCUUCCAUGAGUAAUCAGUGUUAACUUGUCAGCGGUUUAAAAUAAUGAGUAAUAAAAUAUUAUCUGCAAACAUCAUGGUGACCUCAAAUCAAAAAACAUACAACAGACUAUGAAAGAGCCACAGCAUUUCUAUGCUUAGUGUGCCCUCUAAUGCAGAUACAGCUGCAGUGACCAAAAACUUAGAUCACAACACCCACGUUCCUUUGAAUUCCUGAAAAGCCUUCCAAAGAAGGACAGAUACAGCCCAGACUGCGAAGACUAUGAUAAAUAUUUAACUCAGACACUGAUGAACAUCUACAAGCAUCAGGACCAGCCAGGAAAACAUGACCUCAUCAAAUGAACUAAAUAAGGCACCAGGGGCCAAUCCCAGAGAAACAGAGAUAUGUGACCUUUGAAACAGAAUUCAAAAUAGCUGUUUUGGCCAGGCGCAGUGGCUCACACCUGUAAUCCCAACAUCUUGGGAGGCCAAGGUGGGUAGAUCACUUGAACUCAGGAGUUCAAACCAGCCUGGCCAACAUGGUGAAACCUUAUCUCUACUAAAAAUACAAAAAUUAGUUGGGUGUGGUGGGGUGUGCCUGUAAUCCCAGCUACUCAGGAGGCUGAGGCAGGAGAAUUGCUUAAACUUGGGAGGCGGAGAUUCAGUGAGCCAAGAUUGCACCACUGCACUCCAGCCUGGGCAACAGAGCAAGACUCUGUCAAAAACAAACAAACAAACAACUGUUUUGAGGAAACUCAAAAAAAAGUAAAGCUAACAUAGAGAAGGAAUUCAGAAUCCUGUCACAUAACUUUAACAAAGAGAUUGAAAUAACUAAAAAGAAUCAAG